RNAcentral lists this long non-coding RNA (693 nucleotides) under Macaca nemestrina (pig-tailed macaque). RNAcentral's name for it is "lncRNA (ENSMNEG00000045955.1)". Lineage: Eukaryota; Metazoa; Chordata; Mammalia; Primates; Cercopithecidae. The record is from RNAcentral.
GUGAAAAAUUAGCUUUUGACAACACUUAAUUAUAUGUAUUAAUGUACUGUAAUAUUGAUUGAAAUUCUGUUCUACAGACAUGUCAAUAUAUUGACUUUUUAAAUACUUGGGAAUUUCAGAUAUUAUUUACUGGUAUAAUUUACUGGAAUUUCAACAGUGAUCAUGAAAAGAGAAGACUUUCUUCAAGUAAAUAAAUAAUUACUGUUUCCAAUAGAUUUGAGGCUUUGCUUGUUGAUGAGGGUAAACAGGUCAUAUCACAGCAAUUUUCCAGGACAGACCUUGAAGCCACUACCCACUUGAUUACCAGAUACUGGGCCACAUAGGAUAAAUGGUGCUGCUGUGCAAUCUUCUGCUUCUAGUUUUACAGCAGCACCAGAAUGACAGAAGAUCUGUAUUGGGUUCUGAGUUGGAUAGUUACUACCUCUUCACCUGACUUGUCUACACUGUCAACUUGAAUAACCAGUGAAAAAUAAUGAAAUAAUGGCGAUCAACCCUCUUCUGCUCUUGGCAUCUCAGCUUUUCCAAAGCCUUAAAUCUCCAUCUCAACUGAACAUGGAAAAUAAUCUUAAUGAGUCACAAGAAACCUAGGAUUGAAGCAACUCAUAAUAUCACAAAAGAAGGUAAGAUAAAAAGAAAUACAAGAAACCUAGAUACAUUCCAGAUUUGAGUUAUUAAUAUUGUAUAUGUAGUGAG